Molecule: non-coding RNA, 142 nt
Filed under: bovine gut metagenome
Source: RNAcentral
GCAGGGACCGAUGAAAAGGGAAUCCGGUGAGAAUCCGGAACGAUGCCGUCACUGUGUCAGGGAGUUUUCAUGCAAGGAUCACUGGGAAACCGGGAAGAGCAUGAAGGCGUUGAUCGAAGUCAGGAGACCUGCCUGUUUGUGA